CGUUCUCAGUUCGGAUCGGAGUCUGCAACCCGACUCCGUGAAGCUGGAUUCGCUAGUAAUCGCGCAUCAGCCAUGGCGCGGUGAAUACGUUCCCGGGCCUUGUACACACCGCCCGUCAAGCCAUGGAAGCCGGGGCGCUUGAAGUGCGUAGUCUAACCGUAAGGAGGACGCGGCCGAAGGUGGGUUUGGUAAUUGGGGUGAAGUCGUAACAAGGUACC
This 218-nucleotide ribosomal RNA is filed under the name uncultured bacterium. Its description in RNAcentral is "partial 16S ribosomal RNA". It matches the Rfam family "Bacterial small subunit ribosomal RNA", at positions 1283 to 1500 of the family's 1533-position model. The record is from RNAcentral.